UCUGGUUGAUCCUGCCAGAGGUUACUGCUAUCGAGGUUCGACUAAGCCAUGCGAGUCGAAUGUAGCAAUACAUGGCGUACUGCUCAGUAACACGUGGACAACCUACCCUUGGGACGGGGAUAAACCCGGGAAACUGGGUAUAAUACCCGAUAGAUCUCGGACGCUGGAAUGCAUCGAGAUCGAAAGCUCCGGUGCCCAAGGAUGGGUCUGCGGCCUAUCAGGUAGUAGUGGGUGUAGCGUACCUACUAGCCUACGACGGGUAUGGGUUGUGAGAGCAAGAGCCCGGAGAUGGAUUCUGAGACACGAAUCCAGGCCCUACGGGGUGCAGCAGGCGCGAAAACUUUACAAUGCCGGCAACGGCGAUAAGGGGACCUCGAGUGCCAGGUUACAAAUCUGGCUGUCGUAAUGCCUAAAAAGCAUUUCAUAGCAAGGGCCGGGCAAGACCGGUGCCAGCCGCCGCGGUAACACCGGCGGCUCGAGUGGUAACCGUUAUUAUUGGGUCUAAAGGGUCUGUAGCCGGCCGGAUAAGUCUCUUGAGAAAUCUGGCAGCUUAACUGUCAGGCUAUCAGGGGAUACUGUCUGGCUCGAGGCCGGGAGAGGUGAGAGGUACUUCAGGGGUAGGGGUGAGAUCUUGUAAUCCUUGAAGGACCACCAGUGGCGAAGGCGUCUCACCAGAACGGACCUGACGGCAAGGGACGAAAGCUAGGGGCACGAACCGGAUUAGAUACCCGGGUAGUCCUAGCCGUAAACGAUACUCGCUAGGUGUCGGCCACGGUGCGACCGUGGUCGGUGCCGUAGGGAAGCCGUGAAGCGAGCCACCUGGGAAGUACGGCCGCAAGGCUGAAACUUAAAGGAAUUGGCGGGGGAGCA
Molecule: ribosomal RNA, 870 nt
Filed under: uncultured Methanosaeta sp.
Lineage: Archaea; Methanobacteriati; Methanobacteriota; Methanomicrobia; Methanotrichales; Methanotrichaceae
Description: bacterial SSU rRNA
Rfam family: Archaeal small subunit ribosomal RNA
Source: RNAcentral